RNAcentral lists this unclassified non-coding RNA (4547 nucleotides) under Hevea brasiliensis (rubber tree). The record is from RNAcentral. Lineage: Eukaryota; Viridiplantae; Streptophyta; Magnoliopsida; Malpighiales; Euphorbiaceae.
GCCAACUUAAAAUAAGCACCACGCACCACAAAACUGCCAUUUCUGUUAUGACUAGCAGUCGAAGAGCAACCAGCAUUGCUGAACCACCAAAUCCUAAUAAGGCUCAUGGCAAUAAUACCCCAUAAUAGCACAAACUAAAAUAAGUUAUGAUGGGAUUAGUCCAAAAUAGAAGUUCUCUCAAGGAUCACAGCCACAAGACGAGCAUGUUAUAUUCCGGAUUCUUGAAAGCAUGUUAUUGGUUUCCAAUGACAAUCCCAUAAUUUACACAUUGUUCUGUCUAUAAAUAAAAACAGAAACACAUUUUACCACAACUUAAACAAGGUAAAUUAAAAAGUGAGAUGGAAACUGAUAAAUUAAUAAAGCCAAAUUCAAAAUGGAAAUAUUUCAGCUAACUUAAAAAGGCGUAAUGCUGUGUGAUUUUCAUGUUCCCAUAGAAGCAAAACCUUGUUCACCCACGCAAGAGGCAAUGGCAGUAUAUUCUUGCCUUCUCAGAGGCAGAAUUGAGGCACAAUGUUGAAGUAUGAUAUGAAUGGAAGACCUUGAUGCAGUUCUAACUGCUGUAAUCAAAGGCAGAAAGACUGCACCUUUUUCUGUGCCAUAUGCACUAAUUACAUACCUACAAGACAAAUACUGCAUAAUAGCAGACAAAUACUAUUCAAUCAGUCAGUUAUUCACUAAUGAGCUCCUCACAACUAUUAAUGAUUCAAUCAUAUAGUUGAGAACAAGAAAAAAUGACGCUGCAAUGGAACUCAGGCCACUUCAAGAAAGAAAUUUGAAAGAGAAGGAGAAUAUGACCCUCAUCCUGCUGAGAUUAUGACCCUCAUCAUAUAAAAGGCUAUGCUUUUAAACAAAAAUUGCAACAGAAAGAUGUGUAUCUAAUUAAUCCAUCAGGGAAUAAAUAAAAAUAAUAAGAAACAAACUCACUCUAAGCAAAUCUGCGGUUUGCACCCAAAUUAAUUUCAACUCUUGACUCAUCAUGUUCGGAGCUCCCCUCCUUUGAAUCAUCAUUUUUCAGACUUCCAUCUAAGCCUGCAGCAAAUUCUACAGCCUCUGAAAUCUCCACCUUCAGCUCUUCAUGCUUCUCCUUUAACUCUGACGAAUUAAUAGCUGCUGAGAGCCUUUGCUUUAUUUGUUGUUCUAAAGCCUCAAUUUUAUUUUUUGUUGCCACAUCAGGUUUCUUUCCUGCCUUUGCUACCUCCAGCUUCAGCAACUCAAUCAUGUUUUUAAGAUCUGAUGAGUUGAUUAGAUCUUCAAUUUUCUUGUUAGUUUGUUCCUUCAAACUUUCCACUCUAGCUCUGAAGUCUAGGAAAGGUGUCUGCUGACUGACUUCUUUCGCUUUUGAGCUGACAAUCUCAACAUCCAAACCCAUGGACUCAAGAAAAUUUGUCAAUUCCAGCUCUAUCUCUUUCCUCAUCUUCACGAUGCUCUCCUUUGUCUCUCCAUCUAAUUCGCCUUCAUUGGAAGCUCCUGACAUUUGAAGUUCAGCCUUUAAUGCUUCUAUCUUCGCCCGAAUAUCAGGCCGAUCCAUGACCUCUUUAAGUUUCUUAUUAAUUUCCUCCUUCAAUUUCACACCUUUGCUGUUCUUUUCUGAGAUGCUCUUGGCUUUAGAAAACUCCUUCAACAUAUCAAGUUUAUAAUUAAGACUUGAAUAAUUAGGCGCUGCUGACAGGUUCUGAGUAAAUUCAUUCUUGAGUUUUUCAAUCUUAUCCAUUAAAAUUGGGUUCAUUAGUUGGUCCUGCAAAUUUGCUUUUAAAAACUCUUGCCGCAAGGUUUCAAACCUGUCCUUGUAGCCCAUGGAUUUAACAGCUUCAGAAAAUUCAAGAUCAAUCUCCCUUUUCAGCUUUUCAAUCAUCCCAUUCAAAGCCAACUCUGUAGGCUUGCUAGAUGAUUCCCUGGCUUUUGAAAUUUGCUGUUUCAGCUUUUCAACCUCACCCUCCAACUCUAGCACUGGAGUCUUUCCAGCAACAAUUUCUUCUUUCUUUUUCAUGUUGGUUUUUCUUUUAGGAUCGAUUGGGAUUCCCUCUUGAAACCCACCUAUUUUUCGGAACUUAAGCAUACGAUGUUUUAGUAGCUCUUGUGUGUCCAUCUUUUGGAGCUCGUCCAUAGCUUCAUUAAUUGCAUUCUUUAUCUGUUGUGAUGUCCAUGAAGGAUCUGCAUGUGCACCACCAAGUGGUUCCUGUUAAAAUUGAACAAAAAUUCUUUCAGAUGCCAAAGAAACUAUCUUAAAGAUCUGAAAGUUAAACUAAAUUGAAGUAGCAGGUGGGAAAAAGACAAUUCAGUAACUGAAUUUGAAUUAGGAUUUAAUCUUCACAAGAUAUGCCCAGAAACCCGAUUUACCUCUAGUUAUUGUCUGGAAAACACACAUUUUAUCAUGGCAUUCAAAAGAUUUAAAUUAGAAAAACAUAAUAAAUGUAAAUGUAAAGAAGAAAGAAGGGAAGAAAAGUGCAAAGUGCUGAAGAUAUGACACUAGAGGAGAUCAUUACAGGGAUGACACCAUCUGCAAUUUGCAACUUGCACAACUCAGUAGCAGUGAUCUUCAACUUUUCAGCAGCCUGCAUAGGAAAACAAAGUUCACUCUUCUGUAAUCAAUUAAGAGUCCUCAAAUUGACAACGCCAAAAGUGAGGAGGCUAUAUAAACCUUUGGCGAAGCUUUAGCAGUCUUCCAUAAAAUUGCAGCACAUGCUUCAGGACUAUAAGAUGGGGGGAAAAAAAGAGGGGGUAGGGUGGGGUGGAAGGGAAGAAGAAGGGGGGUGGGAAGGCAGGUCAGCAGGCAUUGUUGUAAGAAAAACAAAAUAUUCACGAACUAAACAAGCAUAAUAUGUGUGCAUGUGUCCUUAUAACUAAGGAAAAAGAUGAGGAACAGGUUAUUAAAUAGAGUGAGGUCAAACACAAAUUACCUGGCAACAUAGAAAACUGCAUUUUCAAGCAUCAACAAUUUAUUAGCACAGCCAAUGGCCAGAGCACCACCAGAGCCACCUUCCCCAAUAACAAUAGAAACAAUUGGUACCUUUAGACCAAACAUUGUCCUCAAAUUAUGGGCAAUAGCUUCACCCUGGCCCAGUUCUUCAGAUUUAAGGUCUGCAAAUGCCCCAGGUGUAUCAAUAAAAGUAACUAUAGGAAACCCAUGGUGGUCUGCAUAAUACAUCAUGCGUAGGGCCUUUCGGUAGCCAUGGGGAGUAGGCAUCCCGAAAUUGCGCAUAAUAUUCUCUUUUGUGUUUCUACCUUUCUGUUGACCAAUGAACAUGUAUCUUCUACCAUCUAUGGUUCCUACACCAGUAACAAUAGCUGGAUCAUCAUAACCUGCACGGUCUCCAUGAAGUUCCACCCACUUCUCGGUGAUAUUGAAUAUAUGAUCAAGAACUGUAGGUCUGUUGGGAUGUCUAGCAAUAGUUAAGCGUUGAAUGGGUGUCAAAUGUGUGUACAAGUCUUUCAGAGCCUGAAAAGGGAGUCAAAAUGACAAUUACUCCUUUCCAUCUCACACAAUUAUUUUAAUUCCAGUUCCAGAUGCAAAAUAAUAAAAUCUUAGAAUUAAUGCAACCAUAAAAUGUUUAAGAGCAGUAACCACAAGAUCAUUGAUUCCAAGAAGACUCUAUCUGUGCCAUUGUUUCCCUUCUGAGAUGGGAAUAAGUGCACAUAUUAAUAAAAGAAGAGAAAUUACUUCUAAAUUUUACCUGCUGGUACUUGGUUUCUAAAGCCCCAAUCUGAUCACUAAAAUCUAGGCCAGUUUCAUCAGCCAUUCUACGCACCUGCAAGAAAGGUAUUAAACUAAAAGAAGAAAUAAAUGAUGGGGGCCUCGGGCUUCAAGCGAAAUGCUCUUUUUGCCAUAUCAGCGCCUCACAUGUUGAUAGGCAAGGCAAAAAAGACCAUCCAUCCACAAUAAAUCUCAAAUUCUGAGACUAGUUUUAAACUUGUUAGCAUAUAAAAAUGAGCAGCAACAUUAUUACACAUGCACUGCCAAAUACCCAUAAGACCAAACGAACUCACCUCAAUAAUUCUCUUCUCCAGAUCAAUCAAUGGCUUCUCAAAAGGAAGCGUGACUGGUUUUGGUUUCUCAGCUAGUGGUUUGAAGUUAGAGAGGUAAGUCAAGUGCCCACUGCUAAUAUUGGGAUCAAUAUCAUCAGGCCAAGGAUAAUCAUGCUUCUUCCACUUCUUAACUUUAGCAAUGACACGAAAUCCACUUCCGAUUCCCGUUCUGUAAGUAUUUACCCUUCUAAGAAAACCGCUAGCGAAAAUUUCCUUACUGUAAUACGCAUUCGAACCAAAUUCGAAUGGGAACCCAUCCUCACCUCCUUUGCCUCUUCCACAGUUUCCAGCUACUAGCGAUAAGGUAGCCAUCUCAACAAUUUUCCACUCGAAAUCUACAAAUUCAAUUACUGAAUUCCCUUAUCCAUCUAGAUCUUUCUCGUUCCUGCUUUCUACUCUCGGGUAGCAAAUUGAAAUUACCCCAAGAAAAUUUCCAGCAGAGGUCUCUCUACGCCUUGGCUGGCUAGUUGGCUUAAAAAAAGGCGCUGCGCUUCGAUUGGAUGGGACUCCUAGCAAGCUGGGGA